RNAcentral lists this ribosomal RNA (253 nucleotides) under uncultured bacterium. RNAcentral describes it as "partial 16S ribosomal RNA". It matches the Rfam family "Bacterial small subunit ribosomal RNA", at positions 524 to 776 of the family's 1533-position model. The record is from RNAcentral.
GACGAACCGUGCGAGCGUUGUUCGGAAUCACUGGGCUUAAAGGGCGCGUAGGCGGCUCUCUUGGUCGUGGGUGAAAUCCUGGAGCUCAACUCCAGAACUGCCUUCGAUACUGGAAAGCUCGAGUCCGGGAGAGGUGAGUGGAACUGCGAGUGUAGAGGUGAAAUUCGUAGAUAUUCGCAAGAACACCAGUGGCGAAGGCGGCUCACUGGCCCGGUACUGACGCUGAGGUGCGAAAGCGUGGGGAGCAAACAGG